Molecule: non-coding RNA, 91 nt
Organism: Teratosphaeria nubilosa
Lineage: Eukaryota; Fungi; Ascomycota; Dothideomycetes; Mycosphaerellales; Teratosphaeriaceae
Source: the annotation of a GenBank genome assembly
GGCCUCGUAGUAUAACGGCCAGUACAACAGUCUCAUGUAAGAGUCACCUCAAAGCAAACUGGGAAUAGGAGUUCGAUUCUCCUAGAAGCCA